UGGGCAACCUGCCCCUAGCUCUGGGAUAACUGCGGGAAACUGUAGCUAAUACCGGAUGUGACACGAGACUGCAUGGUCUUCGUGUGGAAAGAUUUAUCGGCUAGGGAUGGGGCCCGCGGUCUAUCAGCUUGUUGGUGGGGUAAUGGCUCACCAAGGCGACGACGGAUAACCGGCCUGAGAGGGUGACCGGCCACACGUGGGACUGAGACACGGCCCAGACCUCCGUACGGGAGG
RNAcentral lists this ribosomal RNA (234 nucleotides) under uncultured bacterium. RNAcentral's name for it is "partial 16S ribosomal RNA". It matches the Rfam family "Bacterial small subunit ribosomal RNA", at positions 118 to 347 of the family's 1533-position model. The record is from RNAcentral.